CCCUUAGACGUUCUGGGCCGCACGCGCGCUACACUGACCAGUGCAACAAGCAUCCGUCCUUGGCCGACAGGCCCGGGCAAUCUUUGAACGCUGGUCGUGAUGGGGAUAGACUUUUGCAAUUUUUGGUCUUCAACGAGGAAUUCCUAGUAAACGCAAGUCAUCAACUUGCAUUGAUUACGUCCCUGCCCUUUGUACACACCGCCCGUCGCUACUACCGAUUGAACGUUUUAGUGAGGUAUUUGGACUGGACCUUCGGAGGUUCGCGCCUCCGUUGCUGUUCGGGAAGACUCCCAAACUUGAGCGUUUAGAGGAAGUAAAANUCGUANCA
RNAcentral lists this ribosomal RNA (328 nucleotides) under uncultured eukaryote. Its description in RNAcentral is "partial 18S ribosomal RNA". It matches the Rfam family "Eukaryotic small subunit ribosomal RNA", at positions 1470 to 1796 of the family's 1831-position model. The record is from RNAcentral.